UUUUUUCUUUUUUGGCUUUAGGUGUUUAGAUCUCCUUUUUAAAAAGGAAAAGAGAAAAAAAAAAAAAGUCGAGGGGGAAAAUGGCGAUUAAAGUGGAGGAGGAGAGGCGGCGCGUGGGGAAGGAGCGCGAGUGGGGGGAGAGAGAAGCAAAGUUGAAUAAGGAAGGAAUCUGGUCGGGUUUGGGGGUUUUCGAACGUUGGGAGAAAUGAAAUUGGGGAGUAACA
Molecule: long non-coding RNA, 224 nt
Filed under: Erythranthe guttata (spotted monkey flower)
Lineage: Eukaryota; Viridiplantae; Streptophyta; Magnoliopsida; Lamiales; Phrymaceae
Description: long non-coding RNA (EGUT_LNC000531)
Source: RNAcentral